UAGGGAAUCUUCCGCAAUGGACGAAAGUCUGACGGAGCAACGCCGCGUGAGUGAAGAAGGAUUUCGGUUCGUAAAACUCUGUUGUUAGGGAAGAAAAAAUGUAUAGUAACUAUAUACAAAAGAGACGGUACCUAACCAGAAAGCCACGGCUAACUACGUGCCAGCAGCCGCGGUAAUACGUAGGUGGCAAGCGUUGUCCGGAAUUAUUGGGCGUAAAGCGCGCGCAGGUGGUUUAGAAAGUCUGAUGUGAAAGCCCACGGCUCAACCGUGGAGGGUCAUUGGAAACUAAUAAACUUGAGUGCAGGAGAGAAAAGUGGAAUUCCUAGUGUAGCGGUGAAAUGCGUAGAGAUUAGGAGGAACACCGGUGGCGAAAGCGGCUUUUUGGCCUGCAACUGACGCUGAGGCGCGAAAGCGUGGGGAGCAAACAGG
This 429-nucleotide ribosomal RNA is filed under the name Verrucomicrobiota bacterium. RNAcentral's name for it is "Verrucomicrobia bacterium partial 16S ribosomal RNA". It matches the Rfam family "Bacterial small subunit ribosomal RNA", at positions 355 to 776 of the family's 1533-position model. Lineage: Bacteria; Pseudomonadati; Verrucomicrobiota. The record is from RNAcentral.